CUGGCUCUUGGGGAAGGAGGGGUCCUGCUUGCUCCCUAGGCUUUGUGCUGGGCUUGCUGGGCAGCAGGAAGAGUCUGGGCAGACAUGUUCACAGUCGUCCACGUUCCCUCAGGCCCCUGGCUGAUGCACCUGCCGCAUGAGCCCCUCUCUGUGGCUCUCCCCUGAUAUCCUGGUAUUGCCGCCACCCUCACCACCAGCACCUUCACAUCUGCUAACAGUUGGAAUAUUAGCCUGGAGCUAACUGCUGCCAAUCCUCCUCCUUUCACGGAGGAAGACCGGCCCCGAGCCAACAUCCAUGCCCAUCUUCCUCCACCGCACAUGUGGGACGCCCACCACAGCAUGGUGUGCCAAGCAGUGCCAUGUCCGCACCCGGCAUCCGGACCAGCAAACCCUGGGCUGCCAAAGUGAAAGGUGCGUACUUAACCACUGCGGCACCAGGCCGGCCCCCAAUCCUCCUCUUUUUGCAUGAGGAAGAUUGUUGCUGAGCUAACAUCUGUGCCAGUCUUCCUCUAUUUUGUAUGUGGUAUGCCACCACAGUGUGGCUUGACAAGCAGUGUGUUGGUCCACAUCCAGGAUCUGAACCCACAAACCCCAGGCCGCUGAAGCAGAGCAUGGAAACUCAGUCACUAAGCCACCGGGCUGGUCCCGCAACACUUUUUUCUAAGUAGCAUCAGCCAACUCUAGUGGGCCAGGGGGUUUGCCUGGGGACUCUGAGCCAUUGACAGCCCCAACCCCAACUCCAAUAUGCCCCCAAACCAUCCAGUACAAUGAGCACUCGCUGCUGGGGUCAGCUUAACACUUAGUAAUCUUUCUUGGCUGGACUUGAUAUGAUAUGGGGCCACUAGGAAGAAAGCUGUUCCCCCAAAGUGCUUCCCCGUGAUCCUGUCACAUGGCCUAGAAAGCCCAGUAGAGUUUCGAGUUUCCUCAGAAGAGAAUGCUCUAAGUCAUCCCACCUCUGCUGACUGCUGUACGAGAAAAACCAAAACAUACGGUGGAGACCUGGGUUCCAGCCUGGCUUUCUACUGACUCAAUGGGGAGCCUUGGGUAAGCCGCCCACCACCUCUAGGGGCUCAGCUUCCUGCUCCAGAAAAUGGCCAUUAUCAAGGCUACCCUGCCCACCUCCCCGGACCCAGACGAUGCUCCAGUGGGCUCUGCAGGUUCCCUCUUUGCCAGCCUGGCCCAGAGCAGCCCAGGCAAGUAUUAGCAGAGGGCUCAGAGCCCUGGAGCUGGCAUCUAUCCUCCACUCCCUUGGCAUUCCCUGCAACUCCCCCAUCCCGUAAACAUGCUCUCUCCACUUGAUCCUUUCUCCCUGCUUGCUGUUCCCUCACACACCUCCAUGUUCCUGCCUCCACUCCUUUGCUCACACUGUCCUCUCCUCUUGAAAACCACUCUCCUCAGUCUCCGCUGGAAUCCUCCCCAUUCUCUGAGGCAGGGAGCAGAUGUCCGCUGACAUCUGUGAGGUGGGUUUUAAUGAACCAAGCAAUUUCCCACCCUCCUCCUCACGUGAGCCUCACACCCUCCCCCUCAGUGCACACUGGCUCUGCUUAUGGUGCAGGCGAGGAACCUGACGCCCAGGGAGGUAAGGGGUUUGCUCCAAGUCAAACAGCUCUUAUGCAACUGUGAAACGGGAUCCUAAACCAAGGUCGUUGACUCCCCGCCAGAACUGGUUUUCCUACAGCACACUGAGUCUUUGAUGACCAUCCAGCUCAUGCCCAUCACUUCCUCCACAAGUCCCAGGAGCCCUCACAGUCAGCUUGGAAAGUCAUUGUCCUCCAACUCCUCCUAUUUCCUCUCCUUGCCCAGCCUGCCAGCUCCGCAAGGGCUAGGGGAUACAGCUCCCUCAUUUACUGCUGGGGGACUGGAUAGAUG
This is a long non-coding RNA of Equus asinus (donkey), 1869 nucleotides long. The record is from Ensembl. Lineage: Eukaryota; Metazoa; Chordata; Mammalia; Perissodactyla; Equidae.